UGAGCUGUGGAUGCCCUUGAACUCGGUCC
Molecule: non-coding RNA, 29 nt
Filed under: Mus musculus (house mouse)
Lineage: Eukaryota; Metazoa; Chordata; Mammalia; Rodentia; Muridae
Source: RNAcentral